UACGUAGGGUGCCAGCGUUGUUCGGACUUACUGGGCGUAAAGGGUUCGUAGGCGGUGCGGCAAGUUGGGAGUGAAAUCUCUGGGCUCAACCCAGAGGCUGCUUCCAAAACUGCCGUGCUUGAGUGUGGGAGAGGCGCGUGGAAUUGCAGGUGUAGCGGUGAAAUGCGUAGAUAUCUGCAGGAACACCCGUGGCGAAAGCGGCGCGCUGGACCACUACUGACGCUGAGGAACGAAAGCGAGGGGAGCAAACAGG
Molecule: ribosomal RNA, 253 nt
Filed under: uncultured bacterium
Lineage: Bacteria
Description: partial 16S ribosomal RNA
Rfam family: Bacterial small subunit ribosomal RNA
Source: RNAcentral